This 205-nucleotide long non-coding RNA is filed under the name Ricinus communis (castor bean). RNAcentral's name for it is "long non-coding RNA (RCOM_LNC000440)". Lineage: Eukaryota; Viridiplantae; Streptophyta; Magnoliopsida; Malpighiales; Euphorbiaceae. The record is from RNAcentral.
AUGAUUCAUCCUCCAAACCUUAUUACUCCUGCAUACGGUUUGUGGUAAGUCUCUCUUCCCUAGGAUUUUUGGUUUGGGCUUUCUAUCAACAGGGAAUAGUAGGCCGGGCGCGCAUGCCAUAAUCUUUCAAAGUAUAUUUAAAUCAAAUAAGAUGAUAUUUCUCAAUGUAAGCAUAAAAGCCUGCAUAUUUUGGGCCUAGGGCCUA